GGGUCACAGGGGAUCCACGGGGUCUACUUUUCCUCAUAGGCAUUCUAGUGGUACAACCAGAGCUUGUUCUGUUUGUGGUAGAUUUCAUUCUGGAACUUGUUUUAAUGAUGACAGAGAGUGCUUUCAAUGUGGUCAAAAGGGUCACAUUAAGAAGAAUUGUCCUAUACCUACAACACAACCAUCAUCUAGUCGUGCAUCAGCACCUGUAGCUUUAGCAUCUUCUCAUUCCCCUUCUGCACCUGUGAGACAAGAGGGAAAUUCUUUUGUUCGGGGUUCAGGAGCAUCUCAACAUGGAGGUAGAGGACCUGGAGGUAGAGGUCAGUCACAAGUAGGGAGAGGUCAUGCUCGGGUUUUUGCUUUGACCCGACAAGAUGCUCAGGC
RNAcentral lists this long non-coding RNA (381 nucleotides) under Medicago truncatula (barrel medic). RNAcentral's name for it is "lncRNA gene37105". Lineage: Eukaryota; Viridiplantae; Streptophyta; Magnoliopsida; Fabales; Fabaceae. The record is from RNAcentral.